AUUGCCCCAUACCCUAUAGAACUGGCAUCGGUAUGCAACUCUAUCGGAAACUGUGGAUCGAAAAUAAUCAAAACAGGCUUAUGUGAGAAAAUAUAACGGCUUCAUUAAUUGUGAAAAACCCGGAAUGAAUUGACGAAAAUAUGACGCUAACCCAAUAAACUGUCUCAGAGUAGCAACUGAUUUCGGUGGAGGCAACGCCACUAGCGA
Drosophila elegans is the source of this 207-nucleotide long non-coding RNA. RefSeq lists it as uncharacterized. Lineage: Eukaryota; Metazoa; Arthropoda; Insecta; Diptera; Drosophilidae. The transcript has 2 exons. The record is from RefSeq and is a predicted model, not a curated record.